RNAcentral lists this ribosomal RNA (578 nucleotides) under uncultured bacterium. RNAcentral's name for it is "partial 16S ribosomal RNA". It matches the Rfam family "Bacterial small subunit ribosomal RNA", at positions 355 to 932 of the family's 1533-position model. The record is from RNAcentral.
UGGGGAAUUUUGGACAAUGGGCGAAAGCCUGAUCCAGCAAUGCCGCGUGUGUGAAGAAGGCCUUCGGGUUGUAAAGCACUUUUGUCCGGAAAGAAAUCCUUGGCUCUAAUACAGUCGGGGGAUGACGGUACCGGAAGAAUAAGCACCGGCUAACUACGUGCCAGCAGCCGCGGUAAUACGUAGGGUGCAAGCGUUAAUCGGAAUUACUGGAGUAAAGCGUGCGCAGGCGGUUUGCUAAGACCGAUGUGAAAUCCCCGGGCUCAACCUGGGAACUGCAUUGGUGACUGGCAGGCUAGAGUAUGGCAGAGGGGGGUAGAAUUCCACGUGUAGCAGUGAAAUGCGUAGAGAUGUGGAGGAAUACCGAUGGCGAAGGCAGCCCCCUGGGCCAAUACUGACGCUCAUGCACGAAAGCGUGGGGAGCAAACAGGAUUAGAUACCCUGGUAGUCCACGCCCUAAACGAUGUCAACUAGUUGUUGGGGAUUCAUUUCCUUAGUAACGUAGCUAACGCGUGAAGUUGACCGCCUGGGGAGUACGGUCGCAAGAUUAAAACUCAAAUGAAUUGACGGGGUCAUAGCUG